AACUCGCCUGCAUGAAGCUGGAAUUGCUAGUAAUCGCGGAUCAGCAAGCCGCGGUGAAUACGUUCCCGGGCCUUGUACACACCGCCCGUCACACCAUGAGAGUCGGGAACACCCGAAGUCCGUAGUCUAACCGCAAGGGGGCGCGGCCGAAGGUGGAUCCGGUAAUUGGGGUGAAGUCGUAACAAGGUAAC
This 191-nucleotide ribosomal RNA is filed under the name uncultured bacterium. RNAcentral's name for it is "partial 16S ribosomal RNA". It matches the Rfam family "Bacterial small subunit ribosomal RNA", at positions 1309 to 1500 of the family's 1533-position model. The record is from RNAcentral.